UGGGGAAUUUUGGACAAUGGGCGCAAGCCUGAUCCAGCCAUGCCGCGUGAGUGAAGAAGGCCUUCGGGUUGUAAAGCCCUUUCGGACGGGAAGAAAUGGCUGGCUCUAACAUAGCCUGUCGAUGACGGUGCCGUAAGAAGAAGCACCGGCUAACUACGUGCCAGCAGCCGCGGUAAUACGUAGGGUGCGAGCGUUAAUCGGAAUUACUGGGCGUAAAGCGUGCGCAGGCGGUUUUGUAAGACAGAUGUGAAAUCCCCGGGCUUAACCUGGGAACUGCGUUUGUGACUGCAAGGCUGGAGUACGGCAGAGGGGGGUGGAAUUCCACGUGUAGCAGUGAAAUGCGUAGAGAUGUGGAGGAACACCCAUGGCGAAGGCAGCCCCCUGGGCCUGUACUGACGCUCAUGCACGAAAGCGUGGGGAGC
This 422-nucleotide ribosomal RNA is filed under the name uncultured bacterium. RNAcentral describes it as "bacterial SSU rRNA". It matches the Rfam family "Bacterial small subunit ribosomal RNA", at positions 355 to 769 of the family's 1533-position model. The record is from RNAcentral.